GGGCCUGUAGCUCAGUCAAACCUUUGUUUGGAGCAACUUGGUAGAGCGACGGACUUUUAAUCCGCAGGUCGCGAGUUCAAAUCUCGCCAGGCCCG
This 95-nucleotide transfer RNA is filed under the name Microcaldota archaeon. RNAcentral's name for it is "Candidatus Micrarchaeota archaeon (hot springs metagenome) tRNA-Lys". It matches the Rfam family "tRNA". From Rfam's summary of the family: Transfer RNA (tRNA) molecules are approximately 80 nucleotides in length. Their secondary structure includes four short double-helical elements and three loops (D, anti-codon, and T loops). Lineage: Archaea; Nanobdellati; Microcaldota. The record is from RNAcentral.